CCUACGGGAGGCUGCAGUGGGGGAUAUUGCACAAUGGGGGAAACCCUGAUGCAGCAACGCCGCGUGAGUGAAGAAGUAUUUCGGUAUGUAAAGCUCUAUCAGCAGGGAAGAGAAUGACGGUACCUGACUAAGAAGCCCCGGCUAACUACGGGCCAGCAGCCGCGGGAAUACGUAGGGGGCGAGCGUUAUCCGGAUUUACGGGGGGUAAAGGGAGGGUAGACGGCUGGUCAAGUCUGAAGUGAAAGCCCGGGGGUUAACCCCGGAAGGGCUUUGGAAACUGGGCAGCUAGAGUGCGGGAGAGGUAAGCGGAAUUCGUGGUGUAGCGGUGAAAUGCGUAGAUAUUAGGAGGAACACCAGUGGCGAAGGCGGCUUACUGGACAGUAACUGACGUUGAGGCUCGAAAGCGUGGGGAGCGAACAGGAUUAGAUACCCCUGUAGUC
RNAcentral lists this ribosomal RNA (440 nucleotides) under uncultured bacterium. RNAcentral describes it as "partial 16S ribosomal RNA". It matches the Rfam family "Bacterial small subunit ribosomal RNA", at positions 338 to 795 of the family's 1533-position model. The record is from RNAcentral.